Molecule: non-coding RNA, 3998 nt
Organism: Cyanistes caeruleus (blue tit)
Lineage: Eukaryota; Metazoa; Chordata; Aves; Passeriformes; Paridae
Source: RefSeq, a predicted model, not a curated record
UCACCGCGCCCUCACACUCACCGAGAGGGCCGAGAGGGGCCCCCAGCCCCGCCCGCUGCAUCACCCCUGGCUCCCGGCGCGUACUGAGCUCCGUCUCGCUGUCACAAACGUCCCAGAUGUCCCGAAUCUUCAGUGUAAUAUUUACCGCGUACCAAGCAGAAGCUUCAAAAAACACCCGUUAAAAAAAAACAAAAACAAAAACAAAACCGAAAGGGUUUUAGAAGUUGACCUGAAACGUUUUAUUUAUUCAAUGCAGCAGCUAAACCAAGGCAAGCAGCCUGGCUUUCCUUCUCAUUGUUCCACUACAGACUUUUAAAUUAAUGUGAGAUGGCUUCUAAAAGACCUUAACACACAGCCAAAUGCAAAUAAAGAGUCAGGUACUGCCUGUUAAAAGUACGUGGCAUGAAGCACUGUGGGCGUUGCAUCUGGAAAGACAGAGACAUGACAAGAACAGCAUCAGUGGUUGCCUCAACCCAUUCCCUGUUGUCAAAGAUUGCAGUGGAACCUGAACUGGAUGUCAUAUGACUGGAUCACAGAAAACAUCCACAGAAAAGCCCAUGAGAGAAGGUCAUUAUUCCCUGCUUUGAUGGUUGGAGUGUUACCAGACGAAAUGGAGAUGUAGUCAAAAGUAACCACUGCUGUUGGCUCUUCAGUUCUGGGCUGCCUGCAACCAGAUUUCAAAACUUCUAGAAACAGAAUGUUUUGCAAGUGCAGCUGAGAAUGCACAGCUGAGGAGGAAACACAUGCAGUGAGACUCUGAAAAAAUUACUGUAAGUGAUUUUAACUAUGCACUGUAAUUUUAUGAUGGCAGCAUUUACGGGGCUUAAUCAUGGCUUAACCUUACCUGAGUCCAAACCUCUGGAUUCAUUCACUUUAAGUGACUCAACAAGUGAGGUGGUGAGCUUGCAGAAAACAUUGUUCUCUGCCACUCAGCCAUGGUUCUUUCUCAGAAAGAAAGCAUGUAUAUCAUAUGAAGUUGUAAAGUAAACUUUAUUCUGAAGAUACUUUACACCUGUGUAAGCCUGUAUAUACCUAUGUGCAGAAACGUUUCUUCAGAUUCCAAGGAAAAUGCUCACUACUGUUUACUCUUAGUAACUAUACAUCAAACGUCCAGCCAAGGACCAUCCUUGCUUUAUCAAAUUCUAAAUAAAUAUAAUUGUUCAAGCUCUCAAGCCCUAUGGAUGACAGUAAGGUCACAAACAUGCCUAAGGUGUAUAAGGAUAUAAGUGUGAAACAAUGAGAAAAAACAAGCAUCACUUAAGAGCUACUUCUGCUUGUAGGAUCUUUUGCCAUCCGUAAUGUUGCAGGGCUGAAACCACACAUGAUUUUUGAAAUGGUGACUGAUUCUCCAGAGCUGACCAUCAAAAUCAGAGAAAAACCCAAUCUUCAAAUCAAAGUACUCAUUUUGUCACCUAGCUAUGUCUUUUAUAGAUUUUCUGGCCAUUUUCCAUUAUCCUUUAAAAAAUCAGAGCAUGUAGAUUCUUCCAGGUGACAUUAAUGUUGUUUCUUUCUGGGAAUUGCCUAAUGAAGAUUAAGCGGAGGAAGUAGCACUGCAAGGUGUAGAGUGAGGGGUCCCAGGAGAGACUUCAGAGCCUAUAGAUAAUGCUCAGAUGGAGAGAGCUUGCUCAGUUGGGCCACAGAAGAGCUGGGAAUAAAACCUGCUAGGGAGCCGAGGGGAAGCCACAGAGUUUGCUGCUACUUAGAAAGUUAGCGAAAUGACUGAAAACUGGAAGCCAGCUCCGAUUAAACCCUGCCAGCGCUUUGCAAGAGGAAUUGCAAGGAAUUUACAAGCAUUUUCUGCUCUGAGCUCCUCAUUUUGAGUUUACUGCAAAUAUAUAUACUAGCCUGUAUUCUAACACAGUCUGGCUCUUGAAUGGAAAAGCCACUUGAUCCACUUUGGAAAGUUCACUUUGUGGGAGGGGGUUGGCAGACCUUGCCUCAUUUCAUCUCUUCCUCAUUCCAUGAUGCAUGCUGUACAGUAAAGGAGAGCAACAGAGUGGUGACAAGGGUUUCUGAGCUUUGCCUUCAGAGAGGAAAUGAGGCAAAAGCUAUUUCCAGAAGCAAGGUGAGACUAUGAUGGACCAGUUGUCCAUCCUAGUAUGGCAAAUUCUGUAAGGACCUCCAAAACUUCCAGUAAUUUCCUGCCCAGUAGCUAGUUAAAAACAUAAGGGUUUUUUUGGCUCAGCAAUGGAUGUUGAUUAUUUCUUUUCAGUGGGUUAAAAAAUAAAGCACAGUCAUUGUUCUCCAUUAUAAAAGAACACCUGAACUGAAAAAAAACCCCACAUACACCAGUGAGAAUGGUUGUUAAGGCACUUCUUAUUCUUUGACACAUGGAUUCUAAAAUAACCUGACAUUAGUUUUAUCAAAUAUGAUGUUGUCUUGCUAGUGUAAUAUCUUACGAAAACUCAGUUAAUCAGUCUUUCUUGGAAAAUGGGAAGACACUGCCAUAGAUGAUACUACUUAGCAAGCGAAUUAUAUUUUCAUGUGUAAUUUGUGUUACUGCUCUUUUAUUUUUUUAUUUUUUUUUCUGAAACAGAAAACUCAUGUUUCACACACAUUUGUAAAGAAAGCCUCUAUCAUUACAGGACUAAGGAGAAGAAGGAAACAGGGAUAAAGUAACCUGCUUACAGACGUGCUGUAGCUGUGGUGACCUUUUUUGCAUUUUCAGCUCAAUAGAAACAAGUACCAGACAAAAGCAGUGCAGACAUUUAACAGACAGCAGCCAGGAAUGUGGUGACCAUUUGCUGGCACAUGACCAUAACUGAGCACUACUGAAAAACUGUCAAGACCCAAUUCAUUUUUAAAAGUAUUCUCUGAGAUAAAAAUAGCAUCUCCUUGAGUAAAACAGUACAUUGUGGUUUGAAAUCUGGGCAUCCGAAAUUUGUUUGAAAUGUGUUUAUGGCAAAACAAACAAAUGCACAAAUACUUGGUGUACUUGAUAGUUUAUCAGUCCCUUUGUCAACAAAUUAGCUUCUGCAGCUUUAAGACUUGUCUUCAUAGUCAGACAUCUGCACCUUAAGUUAGUUAGCUGCUAAUUAAGAUAUUGCUUAAAAUAUAUUUUCCCCAGUCAGUGUGUACAAAUACAACAAGUGUAUUCCAGGACCGGACCAAGAAUAAAUAUUUGUGGUUUGAUGAAAACAUAGGGGAGUGUUCAUAUCAACUUCUAUAAACAAGUGAAGUGACUUUAAAUAACCCAGCAUUAUUUAUUUUGACGUAAAGGGUCCUAUGCUGAUAUAAACAUCCUCAAUGCAAAAUUACUUGUGACUGGUUUUGUAAGCACAAGAUCAAAAACAAAUUUCUGGGGACAGUUUAAACAGGAGAAUAUUAGUCUUAGUCACCAUUAUCACCUCCCCCAGGAUGAAGAGCAAGAGACUUUAUAUUAAGAAAUUGCAAAAUAAUUUGUACAUACAUACGAUAAACACGAUAAACAGUUUGGCAGAUGAUUUUGUAUAUUCCACAAGAGUUUUGGUUGCAAAGGUUCUUCUUUCAUUUAUAUUCUUUUCAUAUGUUCCCAUAACUAUAACCAAUCCCUCCGUUCUUGAAUGCAGGAAUAUACUUGACCUCAUUGCAGUUUUACAUUAAGAAGUUCCAGAGGCUAAAUAUGGAUUUUUUUAAGUCCUUCCUCUUCAUCAUUUUGGAAUUCCUCUAUUUUCAAUUUUUUUUAAAGCUUACAUUAUUAGACAGCUGCAUAGAUACUAAUACUUCUCCUUUUACAGCAUUCAUAGUUUCAAAUAGUUUUUUCACUUUUUUUUUUUUAAUUCAAUUCCUUUGUAAAAUAAACAUGUCUAAUAUUUUAUUCCUCUCUUCAAAUGAAAUUUUUACAUUCCUGUGCUAUUCUUUAGUCUGUCUCUGAGAAUGCUGUAUGUUUGGCUUGUAUUUUGGGGAGUGUAAAACUCAAAAUUGGACAAAGAAUUAUAAGAGUAAAAAGAACUAUCUUCAUAAACUCAUUGUAAUGUUUUCUGUAUUAGAUUUUAUCCCAUUCUUUAUAUAUCCAAAUA